RNAcentral lists this long non-coding RNA (1463 nucleotides) under Capsella grandiflora. RNAcentral's name for it is "long non-coding RNA (CGRA_LNC001530)". Lineage: Eukaryota; Viridiplantae; Streptophyta; Magnoliopsida; Brassicales; Brassicaceae. The record is from RNAcentral.
UUUCCCUGGAUUAUGUGGAGGAAACUGCUAUUUUCACUAUAUGGAUUAUGGUCAUUUAAGCAAAAAGUUUGAAGAGUGAGAAUCAAUCAAGUCCCAGGGACCGUUGUAAAGCUUUUGAUUAUACGUUUGCAGAUGGUUUUUAAUUUUCAUGGGUGUGACUGUGAGUAAGUAAACGAUCUGAACUGAACUAUCCUUAGAUUUUUGGAAAAGUAUAAAAGUGCAGCAUCUUCUUAUCACUUUAUGCACUUUUCAUGUGAGGUCUCGAAUCCAUCACUUUGAAAUUAACACUUUAGUAAGCUAUUCACUUGGUUGUUAUUUCUUCUUAAAGUUUUUGAAGCAGAAAACACAUUUGGCUGAUGGUUUCUAUAUCUAGGACUGGGAUAUGACUCAUUUUAGUUAUAAGUGCUGAUACACUGCUCAGUAGACUUUAUUCUUACUAUUAUAAGCUUUCUUUAAUAAGUUACACAUAAUCAUGUUGUCAGGGCAAUGUAACGCCUGUCUCAGAUCUUUGUCCGAUAACAUGUAUGCAUAAACCAAAUGUUUUGAUAGCUAUGAUUAUUGUAGGGUAAAUGAAGAACUCUGCAGCUUGUCAUUCUUAUCAGCAUAUACCCUUGGAGUAUGAGCUUUAUUUCAUGAAGUAAGUACUUAUGUUUAUGCGUAUGGUCCAUACCCAUAGGCAUUUACCUAUUCUUAGUAGUUGUUAGUGAUAUAUACUAGAGAGCACGCGGGAAUGCAUAUUCGGUGCUGAAAUCAUCUUUAAAGCCAAUUGAGAUAAACAAUAUGCUUCGAUGAAUUAUUCACAAUAGCAAUGGUUCACUCAGGGAUUCUGGUUUUCUGCUAAUGUAUACCCCUUUUUCUGAGAACCAUACUGAAACUGACCACUUCGUGUAUUGACUUCGUGUUGAUUAGUAGGAUUACAAAUGUUGUGUGGGAUGGGAUAAUAGUACUCCCCUAGCUUGCACAUGUUCAGGUUGUCCGAAAGUCAUUGGCUUUGAACCUUAGUGUCCAUCUUAUCAAAAUGAAAUCUGCGUUUACACUUCUUGAUGAUGUAUAUUUCACAUAUUGGGAUUUGUACCAAGUAGACAGGUUUUGUUUAACUAAUGCAGAGAAAGAGGAAGACUAUAGUAAUAAUUAGCUAAAACCACAAACCUAUUUGCAUAGCUUUGGUGAUAGUCCUUGAAGCUAAGAAUUUCACCAAACCUUACAGAAUCUCAAAUUAAAAGUAAUUUACACCUUGGUAUCUAUUGUUUGAUUUUGCCGUAGGAGGAUCAGAAUGAAGGAACAACGCCAUACCCUGUUUCGUACAUUAGCAUUGUGUUGAACCCAUGGUCCUCAUCUUCGAUUUCUAUCCUCUUUGCAAAACGACCAUUGACCCUUGGCCUUCUCUCUGCAUAUGCUUUUCUUGAAGCAUACCUUAUCGUCUUCUCAAAUUUCCUUGUCUUCCUCUUCUCUCUGUAUCUCAG